AACAAGACAAGUGAUCUAGGCGUGGUCGGAGUUAUAGUAUAUAAAUCAGAGCAUUUGUUCGAUGGAUAUCACUUGUGAAAACUCUUCCAAGCGUACCUAACUAUUUACCUACGAGUACAAUGCUGUUCAGGCUGUUUGCUUUAAUCGCCCUGGUGGCCGUGGCUUUCGCCAGCCCGAAACCCGAGCCUCAAGUGGUCGCUUACACCGCCGGCGCGUACCCAGCUGCCUACCCUUACUAUUCCGCGGGAGUGUACUCCCCAUACACCGCCGCUGCUUAUCCAUACGCCUACAAUGGAUACUACUUUCGUUAAUACCUAAAACGCCUGAUAACUG
Pararge aegeria (speckled wood butterfly) is the source of this 333-nucleotide long non-coding RNA. RefSeq lists it as uncharacterized. The transcript is spliced from 2 exons. The record is from RefSeq and is a predicted model, not a curated record. NCBI's taxonomy places the organism in Eukaryota, Metazoa, Arthropoda, Insecta, Lepidoptera, Nymphalidae.